UACAGAGGUGCCGAGCGUUAGGCGGAAUCACUGGGCUUAAAGCGUGUGUAGGCGGACGUCUAAGUACCUUGUGAAAUCCCACGGCUCACCCGUGGAACGGCUGGGUAUACUGGUCGUCUUGGGCCACCUAGGGGCCAGCGGAACAAAUGGUGGAGCGGUGAAAUGCGUAGAUAUCGGGAGGAACACCAGUGGCGAAGGCGGCUACCUGGCACAUAACUGACGCUGAUACGCGAAAGCGUGGGGAGCGAACCGG
RNAcentral lists this ribosomal RNA (253 nucleotides) under uncultured bacterium. RNAcentral describes it as "partial 16S ribosomal RNA". It matches the Rfam family "Bacterial small subunit ribosomal RNA", at positions 524 to 776 of the family's 1533-position model. The record is from RNAcentral.